This is a long non-coding RNA of Ostrea edulis (European flat oyster), 492 nucleotides long. RefSeq lists it as uncharacterized. The record is from RefSeq and is a predicted model, not a curated record. The transcript is spliced from 3 exons. Lineage: Eukaryota; Metazoa; Mollusca; Bivalvia; Ostreida; Ostreidae.
CACGAGAUUGAUGUGGAUGGAUCACGCACAUGUUUCAUUACUGAAGAAACUACAAUGUCGGAUGAUCAGAUGUUGAAUGAGUUUCGUCUAGGUUAUCAUGCAGUACCAAGCACGAGGUGACAUGUGUAUAAGAAAGGAAUUACAACAAUUCUAGCCCUUAAAACACACACCAAGCCAAACAGUUACAAGAAAAGUUGACAGAAUAUCCUCAAGUUGAAAACAGGCAUCAUAGAAUCUGCCUUAUUAUGCAACAGUUGAAGAGGCAACUAGUGGUGAUAUACAGAAAAUUAUCAAGCAACUGAUAGCAUACAGGAAACAAAUGAUAUGUAUUUGUUAAGAUUUGUGAGGGUUUUCUUUUUAUGUUGAAAGACAUUUUGAUUUUUUCAUAUAGCAUAAUUAAGUAGAACAUACUAACCCCUACUAAUGUUAUUGUUAUUUAGAUUUACACCACGAGGGUUUUAUGACCCAUUGAAAGGUUAGAGGUAAGGUCAA